AUUUCCCCAUUUCCUCAUCUCUCACUUCUCUCGGUAGCUAUGCUUCUCUCUGAAAUUUCCGAUCGCGUGUGUUGCUUACCGGAAAUGAAAUCACUCAGAUUUGUAUAUGAUACUCUCUAUCUCUCGGUCGUCUUGUCUUUCUCUAUUUUGAAGUGAAUUUGCGUGGGCUUCCAGAUGGAGUGAAUUUGCGUCGUCUAGUCUCUCACUAAUUUUUAGCAUCUGCACGGGUACAAUGUCGACCGAGAUGAAGAUUCAAAAGUUGAGUUCAUAAAUUUGAAGAAAGAUGAGUUUUUAAUUAUUUCUGUUUAUUUGAAUGUGACUAUACUUUGAUCUAUUCUGCAGAUGAGGGUUUUAUAUUGAUUUACUUACCUAAAAAAGUUUUAACUGUGUAUUUAUAUUGUAUUUUACUUGCAGCUGCAGAUUAUAAAGCUAAAUGCAGAUAUCCCAAUGAAAAUUAUAAAGCUAAAUGCUGAAAUUUGUGUUCAGAACUGAGAUAAAUGCUGAAGGUGAAAACAUAUGAAACUUUAUAUGAAUCAAGAGGUGUGGAAUUUUGAAUUCAAAUUCGUGUUGGAAGACUAAAAGAGUGAGUAACAUACCAGCAUUCCCACAUUCUGUAGAUUAAUGGGAAAAAAAUCUUACAUGUUCGUCGUGGAAGAUGACUUCUUUGCUCUUUUUUUCGGAAGAGCCUUCCCUUUCCACAACCAAAAUUAAUGGGAAAAAAAAAUAUCUUACCCGUUCAUCGUGGAAGAUGACUUAUUUGCUCCUUUUUUCGGAAGAGCCUUCCCUUUCCACGACCGAAGUAUGGCUCUAACCUUCAUAGCACUCCUGAUUCGCCAGACAUUACAUUCCCAUCGUCGAAAGCAAUAAUGCAAAUGAAAGCAAAUAAAAAAUUUUGGGAGGGUUUUACACUGAUAGUUAAGCCUUUAUAUAAUGUGUGUAAUAUAAGUCUGAGAGUGAAAGAGUUCUAGAUGUAUAUUAAUUAGUUUUGAAUUCCCGAUAAUGGUUUCCUUGAUUCUCGAAGUUGACGAUUCGAUUUCCUAAGAAAUUACAAUUAAUUCCUUUAGAUUAUUGUCCUAAAUAUCUACUUUUGUUGCCUUUAAUACUUCUAGAGCCGAAUUUUUUAAAGCUGCUCAGAAUAGUCAUGCAAAACGUCGCCGUUUCUAAGUGGGCGGGAACUUGGCGAAAACUGCAUUUAAUGCUGCUCUUGUUGCUAUUUUAUAUAUAGAGAUAGAGAUAGAGAUAGAGAUAGAGAAGAGAUAGAGAUUUAGUGUGGAUAUUAUGUGUGGAUUAUAUAACUGUUGUAACGGUCAUUGUCAUUAUUCCUUUUCAGUUACAUCUGUAAUUAUAUAAACAUCCCUUGUACUAUGAAGAUGAAGAUUGUAUUUAUGUAUCAA
Long non-coding RNA from Ipomoea triloba (trilobed morning glory), 1394 nucleotides. RefSeq lists it as uncharacterized. The transcript has 5 exons. The record is from RefSeq and is a predicted model, not a curated record. NCBI's taxonomy places the organism in Eukaryota, Viridiplantae, Streptophyta, Magnoliopsida, Solanales, Convolvulaceae.